Molecule: non-coding RNA, 24 nt
Filed under: Arabidopsis thaliana (thale cress)
Lineage: Eukaryota; Viridiplantae; Streptophyta; Magnoliopsida; Brassicales; Brassicaceae
Source: RNAcentral
GGUAUCAUAAAUAUCACUGGGCUG